Molecule: ribosomal RNA, 253 nt
Filed under: uncultured bacterium
Lineage: Bacteria
Description: partial 16S ribosomal RNA
Rfam family: Bacterial small subunit ribosomal RNA
Source: RNAcentral
CACGAACCGGACAAACGUUAUUCGGAAUCACUGGGCUUAAAGAGUCCGUAGGCGGCUAUGUAGGUGAGGUGUGAAAUCCCACGGCUCAACCGUGGAACUGCGCUUCAAACCAUAUGGCUAGAGGGAGAUAGAGGAAAGCGGAACUGAUGGUGGAGCGGUGAAAUGCGUUGAUAUCAUCAGGAACACCGGUGGCGAAAGCGGCUUUCUGGGUCUCUUCUGACGCUGAGGGACGAAAGCUAGGGGAGCGAACGGG